GCACGCCGUGUCGUCUAUCUGACCAUGCC
This 29-nucleotide small RNA is filed under the name Bombyx mori (domestic silkworm). RNAcentral's name for it is "ovarian small RNA-2731". Lineage: Eukaryota; Metazoa; Arthropoda; Insecta; Lepidoptera; Bombycidae. The record is from RNAcentral.